CCUCAUCUACCUGCUGUGGGCAAAUCAAAUGAAUAUGUGUAUCAAAUCCACCCGCGGUGACAAUUUUGUUUUCUCCAGCGAUCAUGUCUGUCGAAGCACCCACUACCAAAUCUGGGUGAACACCAUCCAUCACAUCGGGAUUACCGGCUUUGCCGAUACCACAAAUAAUUCCAUCUUUAAUACCAAUAUCGGCCUUGUAGAUGCCGGUAUAAUCAAUAAUCAACGCAUUUGUAAUGAUCGUAUCAGCGCACUCGGCCGACGACCGCCCAGAGGCCUGACCCAUCCCAUCGCGG
This 293-nucleotide small RNA is filed under the name Penicillium steckii. RNAcentral describes it as "5' ureB small RNA". It matches the Rfam family "5' ureB small RNA". Lineage: Eukaryota; Fungi; Ascomycota; Eurotiomycetes; Eurotiales; Aspergillaceae. The record is from Rfam by way of RNAcentral.